GACGAACGCUGGCGGCGUGCUUAACACAUGCCAGUCGAACGGAAAGGCCCUGCUUUUUUGGGGUGCUCGCGUGGCGAACGGGGGGGUAAACAGUGAGUAAACUGCCCUUGCACUUGGGGUUAACUCAGGAAACGGGGGCUAAUUACGGGUAGGAGUGCCUGCUGCGCGGGGGGGGGCGGGGAGUUUCGGCGGUUUGGGAUGGUUUUGCGGGUGAUGGGCUCGUUGGUGGGGAGGUGGCUUACGGAGGCUUUGACGGGUAGCCGGCCUGAGAGGGUGUGCGGCCACGUUGGGACUGAUGUACGGCCCAGACUCCUGCGGGAGGCAGCAGUGGGGAGUAUUGCGCAGUGGGCGGAAGCCGGAUGCAGCAACGCCGCGUGCGGUAUGACGGCCUUCGGGUUGUAAACCGCUUUCGCCUGUGACGAAGCGUGUGUGACGGUAAUGGGUAAAGAAGCACCGGCUAACUACGUG
Molecule: ribosomal RNA, 468 nt
Filed under: uncultured bacterium
Lineage: Bacteria
Description: partial 16S ribosomal RNA
Rfam family: Bacterial small subunit ribosomal RNA
Source: RNAcentral